Molecule: ribosomal RNA, 441 nt
Filed under: uncultured bacterium
Lineage: Bacteria
Description: partial 16S ribosomal RNA
Rfam family: Bacterial small subunit ribosomal RNA
Source: RNAcentral
CCUACGGGUGGCAGCAGUGGGGAAUAUUGCACAAUGGGGGGAACCCUGAUGCAGCGACGCAGCGUGGGUGAAGGAGUAUUUCGGGAUGUCAAGCCCUAUCGGCAGGGAGACAAUUGGACGGUACCUGACUAAGAAGCCCCGGCUAACUACGUGACAGCAGCCUCGGUAAUACGUAGGGGGCGAGCGUUAUCCGGAUUCACUGGGUGUAAAGGGAGCUUAGACGGCCAUGCAAGCCAGGGGUGAAAGCCCGGGGCCCAACCCCGGGACUGCCCUUGGAACUGCAUGGCUGGAGUGCGGGAGGGGCAGGCGGAAUUCCUGGUGUAGCGGUGAAAUGCGUAGAUAUCAGGAGGAACACCGGAGGCGAAGGCGGCCUGCUGGACCGCGACUGACGUUGAGGCUCGAAAGCGUGGGGAGCGAACAGGAUUAGAUACCCCGGUAGUC